This 403-nucleotide ribosomal RNA is filed under the name uncultured bacterium. RNAcentral describes it as "bacterial SSU rRNA". It matches the Rfam family "Bacterial small subunit ribosomal RNA", at positions 355 to 775 of the family's 1533-position model. The record is from RNAcentral.
UGGGGAAUAUUGGACAAUGGGCGCAAGCCUGAUCCAGCCAUGCCGCGUGAGUGAUGAAGGCCUUAGGGUUGUAAAGCUCUUUUGUCAGGGAAGAUGAUGACGGUACCUGAAGAAUAAGCACCGGCUAACUUCGUGCCAGCAGCCGCGGUAAUACGAAGGGUGCUAGCGUUGUUCGGAAUCACUGGGCGUAAAGCGCGCGUAGGCGGCUUCUCAAGUCAGGGGUGAAAUCCUUGGGCUCAACCCAAGAAUUGCCUUUGAAACUGUGAAGCUAGAGUGUCGGAGGGGAUAGCGGAAUUGCUAAUGUAGAGGUGAAAUUCGUAGAUAUUAGCAGGAACACCGGUGGCGAAGGCGGCUAUCUGGACGACAACUGACGCUGAGGCGCGAAAGUGUGGGGAUCAAACAG